AACCUGGUUAGGUGGUCUGCCUUACGGUACGUACUGCUCGGCCGGGUUCUACCUCUUGGUGAGCCGGCAUGUCCUUCACUGGGUGUGUCGGGGAACCAGGACUUUUACCUUGAGAAAAUUAGAGUGUUCAAAGCAGGCUUAUGUCUGAAUACAUUAGCAUGGAAUAAUAGAAUAGGACGG
Molecule: ribosomal RNA, 180 nt
Filed under: uncultured Glomeromycotina
Lineage: Eukaryota; Fungi; Glomeromycota
Description: partial small subunit ribosomal RNA
Source: RNAcentral